UAUUAUUAUCUUCAAGAAAUGUUUGCAGCCGCACAUUAACCAUUUUCUCUAGCAGUUUUCCCAAGCAAGACGUUAAACUAAUUGGGCGAUAACUUUGUGCCAGCAACGGAUCUUUUCCAGGUUUCGGUAUAGGAAUGACAACGGCCUGUUUCCAUUCCGAGGGGAGUACAGUGAUGAAACAUCUGGUUGUGGAUUUCGUCUUCUCCCGGUGAACAUGACUUGGUGUUACGGAUAGCGAUAUUCAACUCUUCUAAGACGACCACCACGGAACCAUUUUUGUUUUAUUGCCAGGUUUGGAUUUUGGAAUACUGGCGUUCGCAGCGUCUAAUAUAGCAGAUGUAAGAGUUUUUAAACUUAAGCUAUCUAGGGCUGGAGGGACGAACUUACUUGCAAAAAGUUCCCAAUCUGCUUGUGGGAUCUUAAAUCUAGCCACUGAUCUUAUCGUGGGAUUUUUGCCUCUAACAGAAAUGAUUAUGGGAAAAUGAUCGCUGUGAUGGAGAUCAGUUUCCACCUCCCAUUCAAAAUUACAGUAUAUAUUUGGAGAACAUAUAGAAAGAUCAAUUGCGUCGAAUGUUCCGGAU
Photinus pyralis (common eastern firefly) is the source of this 581-nucleotide long non-coding RNA. RefSeq lists it as uncharacterized. The transcript is spliced from 3 exons. NCBI's taxonomy places the organism in Eukaryota, Metazoa, Arthropoda, Insecta, Coleoptera, Lampyridae. The record is from RefSeq and is a predicted model, not a curated record.